This 304-nucleotide ribosomal RNA is filed under the name uncultured bacterium. RNAcentral describes it as "partial 16S ribosomal RNA". It matches the Rfam family "Bacterial small subunit ribosomal RNA", at positions 506 to 807 of the family's 1533-position model. The record is from RNAcentral.
CAGCAGCAGCCACGGUAAUACAGAGGGUGCGAGCGUUAAUCGGAUUUACUGGGCGUAAAGCGUGCGUAGGCGGCUUCUUAAGUCGGAUGUGAAAUCCCUGAGCUUAACUUAGGAAUUGCAUUCGAUACUGGGAAGCUAGAGUAUGGGAGAGGAUGGUAGAAUUCCAGGUGUAGCGGUGAAAUGCGUAGAGAUCUGGAGGAAUACCGAUGGCGAAGGCAGCCAUCUGGCCUAAUACUGACGCUAAGGUACGAAAGCAUGGGGAGCAAACAGGAUUAGAUACCCGGGUAGUCCCUGUCUCUUAUAC